Molecule: ribosomal RNA, 506 nt
Filed under: uncultured bacterium
Lineage: Bacteria
Description: partial 16S ribosomal RNA
Rfam family: Bacterial small subunit ribosomal RNA
Source: RNAcentral
AGUGAACGCUGGCGGUAGGCCUAACACAUGCAAGUCGAACGGCAGCACAGGAGAGCUUGCUCUCUGGGUGGCGAGUGGCGGACGGGUGAGGAAUACAUCGGAAUCUACUCUGUCGUGGGGGAUAACGUAGGGAAACUUACGCUAAUACCGCAUACGACCUACGGGUGAAAGCAGGGGACCUUCGGGCCUUGCGCGAUUGAAUGAGCCGAUGUCGGAUUAGCUAGUUGGCGGGGCAAAGGCCCACCAAGGCGACGAUCCGUAGCUGGUCUGAGAGGAUGAUCAGCCACAAUGGAACUGAGACACGGUCCAGACUCCUACGGGAGGCAGCAGGGGGGAAUAUUGGACAAUGGGCGCAAGCCUGAUCCAGCCAUACCGCGUGGGUGAAGAAGGCCUUCGGGUUGUAAGGCCCUUUUGUUGGGAAAGAAAUCCAGCUGGCUAAUACCCGGUUGGGAUGACGGUACCCAAAGAAUAAGCACCGGCUAACUUCGUGCCAGCCGCCGCGGUAA